CCUACGGGAGGCAGCAGUGAGGAAUAUUGGUCAAUGGACGCAAGUCUGAACCAGCCAUGCCGCGUGCAGGAAGACGGCUCUAUGAGUUGUAAACUGCUUUUGUACGAGGGUAAACGCAGAUACGCGUAUCUGUCUGAAAGUAUCGUACGAAUAAGGAUCGGCUAACUCCGUGCCAGCAGCCGCGGUAAUACGGAGGAUUCAAGCGUUAUCCGGAUUUAUUGGGUUUAAAGGGUGCGUAGGCGGUCGGAUAAGUUAGAGGUGAAAUCCCGAGGCGUAACUUCGGAAUUGCCUUUGAUACUGUUCGGCUAGAGAGUAGUUGCGGUAGGCGGAAUGUAUGGUGUAGCGGUGAAAUGCUUAGAGAUCAUACAGAACACCGAUUGCGAAGGCAGCUUACCAAGCUACUUCUGACGUUGAGGCACGAAAGCGUGGGUAUCAAACAGGAUUAGAUACCUAGUAGUC
Molecule: ribosomal RNA, 459 nt
Filed under: uncultured bacterium
Lineage: Bacteria
Description: partial 16S ribosomal RNA
Rfam family: Bacterial small subunit ribosomal RNA
Source: RNAcentral